GCCGUUGGGCGGCCGGUAGCUGUUGCUGUCGGGGGACACCCUCAUUCCUGCCGCUGCCGUCCCUGCUGCCUCAUGGCGGCCAUCGGAGUUCACCUGGGCUGCACCUCAGCCUGUGUGGCAGUCUAUAAGGAUGGCCGGGCUGGUGUGGUUGCAAAUGAUGCCGGUGACCGAGUUACUCCAGCUGUUGUUGCUUACUCAGAAAAUGAAGAGAUUGUUGGAUUGGCAGCAAAACAAAGCAGAAUAAGAAAUAUUUCAAAUACAGUAAUGAAAGUAAAGCAGAUCCUGGGCAGAAGGAUACUUAUGCACUAAGCCAAAAACUAUAGUUGUUUGGAGAGAAUUCAAUAUUUGGUGACAAUAAAUAUAUCCCCUCUCAUUCCCCUGUGGCCUUCCAGCCAGAAAUGCGGUCCUUGGACCUGGCUUCUCAGCAAUUAUCCCUGAGAGGGAAGAUCCUGGAGAUAUCCUGAGAGCACACAGAGCUUCCCCACACCUUCAGACUUGCACCUUGCUCUCCAGAAGCUGCCUAGCCCUCCUUUCCAACCCACAAUGGCCAGUGCCAAUAGCAGUGCGGG
This 569-nucleotide small RNA is filed under the name Pongo abelii (Sumatran orangutan). RNAcentral describes it as "processed transcript". The record is from RNAcentral. Lineage: Eukaryota; Metazoa; Chordata; Mammalia; Primates; Hominidae.